CGGGCGGAUGCGCAGGGGUCCCCAGGGUCCCAGGGUCGGCAGAGUCCCCCCAGGGCAGCCCGGAGAGGACCCGGACUAGGGCGCUCUGUGCACCGCUCUGGGCGCCUGGGACCAGGCGUGAAAAUAAGUCGUCCCUGAAUUGGAUGAGACUUGCAGGGUGGGGACCAUGCAGGCAGACACACUGCAGAAGCUGGCAAAGUACCCGGUGUCUGCCCUCCAGAGCAGACUACUGUGUCCCUCCUCCCUGUCUAUCUACUGAAACUUCUCCAGCACCCAACAGGUCACCCCUGCUGUGGAAAAGCUCCAGCACCAUCUCCAGAGUGGCUCUGGCUCCAGCAUCAGUUCCUGUAGCAUCUCCAGAGCCAGAUCCAGCUGUAUAACUACGGGGCCCAAGCCCGCAUACAGCUUGAGGCACUACUGUCAUUAGAUUUGAUGCCACUUCCAGCAGCAGGUCCAGAGCCAGAGCCAAGUGUACGACCGAUUCUAACAGCAAUUCCAGAGCUAGAGGCCACUCCAGGAGAAGCUCAGAGGGGCCUUGUCUUCCCACGUGUGGAACAGGAACUGCACCUGGAGCCUCCCUCCGCACCAGCUCCUGAGCUACACCCAGCACCAGCGUUGGCCUCCUCUCCCCUCUG
Molecule: long non-coding RNA, 635 nt
Organism: Myotis lucifugus (little brown bat)
Lineage: Eukaryota; Metazoa; Chordata; Mammalia; Chiroptera; Vespertilionidae
Exons: 3
Source: RefSeq, a predicted model, not a curated record